This 253-nucleotide ribosomal RNA is filed under the name uncultured bacterium. RNAcentral describes it as "partial 16S ribosomal RNA". It matches the Rfam family "Bacterial small subunit ribosomal RNA", at positions 524 to 776 of the family's 1533-position model. The record is from RNAcentral.
UACAGGGGGUGCAAACGUUGUUCGGAAUUACUGGGCGUAAAGGGCGCGUAGGCGGCUUAUCAAGUCAGGCGUGAAAUUCCCGGGCUCAACCUGGGGGCUGCGCUUGAUACUGAUUGGCUUGAAUGCGGGAGAGGAUAGUGGAAUUCCCAGUGUAGAGGUGAAAUUCGUAGAUAUUGGGAAGAACACCGGUGGCGAAGGCGGCUAUCUGGCCCGUAAUUGACGCUGAGGCGCGAAAGCGUGGGGAGCAAACAGG